AACGCGAAGAACCUUACCUGGGCUUGAACCGCACAGGACCAUCUCUGGAAACAGAGACUUCCCGCAAGGGACCUGUGUAGAGGUGCUGCAUGGCUGUCGUCAGCUCGUGCCGUGAGGUGUUGGGUUAAGUCCCGCAACGAGCGCAACCCUUACUCAUAGUUGCUACCCGCAAGGGAGAACUCUAUGAGGACUGCUCCGGAUAACGGAGAGGAAGGUGGGGAUGAGGUCAAGUCAGCAUGGCCUUUAUGUCCAGGGCUACACACGUGUUACAAUGCGCGCUACAGAGCGUUGCAAACCCGCGAGGGGGAGCUAAUCGCACAAAAGCGCGCUCAGUUCGGAUUGCAGUCUGCAACUCGACUGCAUGAAGCCGGAAUCGCUAGUAAUGGCGCAUCAGAACGGCGCCGUGAAUACGUUCCCGGGCCUUGUA
RNAcentral lists this ribosomal RNA (427 nucleotides) under uncultured Acidobacteriota bacterium. Its description in RNAcentral is "bacterial SSU rRNA". It matches the Rfam family "Bacterial small subunit ribosomal RNA", at positions 958 to 1385 of the family's 1533-position model. The record is from RNAcentral. Lineage: Bacteria; Pseudomonadati; Acidobacteriota.